CAAGAAAUAGUUUAUAAAAAUAAUAGCUUUGGAAGUUAUAGAUGCUAUAUGGCUUUCUUGA
This 61-nucleotide transfer RNA is filed under the name Cypridopsis vidua. RNAcentral describes it as "tRNA-Pro". The record is from RNAcentral. Lineage: Eukaryota; Metazoa; Arthropoda; Ostracoda; Podocopida; Cyprididae.